AGGGCACCACCAGGAGUGGAGCCUGCGGCUUAAUUUGACUCAACACGGGAAAACUCACCCGGCCCGGACACUGGAAGGAUUGACAGAUUGAGAGCUCUUUCUUGAUUCAGUGGGUGGUGGUGCAUGGCCGUUCUUAGUUGGUGGAGUGAUUUGUCUGGUUAAUUCCGAUAACGAACGAGACUCUAGCCUAUUAAAUAGAUCGUUGGCUUACAAACGCCGGCGAGACUUCUUAGAGGGACAGGCGGCGAUUCAGCCGCACGAAACAGAGCAAUAACAGGUCUGUGAUGCCCUUAGAUGUCCGGGGCCGCACGUGCGCUACACUGGAGUGAUCAGCGUGCAUUUUGAAACCUACUCUGUCGAGAGUGGGGAACCCAAUGAACCUUCUUCGUGAUUGGGAUAGGGGAUUGUAAUUAUUCCCCUUGAACGAGGAAUUCCCAGUAAGCGCGAAUCAUAAGUUUGCGCUGAUUACGUCCCUGCCCUUUGUACACACCGCCCGUCGCUACUACCGAUUGAAUGUUU
RNAcentral lists this ribosomal RNA (519 nucleotides) under uncultured eukaryote. RNAcentral describes it as "SSU rRNA". It matches the Rfam family "Eukaryotic small subunit ribosomal RNA", at positions 1161 to 1698 of the family's 1831-position model. The record is from RNAcentral.